RNAcentral lists this small RNA (277 nucleotides) under Arabidopsis thaliana (thale cress). RNAcentral describes it as "ATSL108730". The record is from RNAcentral. Lineage: Eukaryota; Viridiplantae; Streptophyta; Magnoliopsida; Brassicales; Brassicaceae.
AAUAAAAAUAAAUAUAAAAAUCAAACACAUCCUUGUCUUCAUGAAUCGCCUCUAAAUACGUAGCAAAGAUUGGUCACUUUGUUGGAAAAGACACCACUUUUAUCAAGUCUGAGGAAUCUGUAAAGAACGUUACUUCUUGUUUGUCUUGACCAAUCAUACAUCUUAUUGUUCAUACGAGUGAACGAGUGCUUCCACUUAUGUAAAUAGACAUGUGAGACUUCUUCGUAGGUUGACAUCACCUAUAGUUGGAUAUUUUCUUGUUGGUAAGUUUUUAGAU